AGUCUGGUGCCAGCAGCCGCGGUAAUUCCAGCUCUGAUAGUAUAUAUUAAAGUUGUUGCAGUUAAAAAGCUCGUAGUUGAAACUUGGGUGCGUAGGGGCGGUCUCUUUUAGAGUACUACCCUGAAACAUCUUUCUUUGGUGUAAACUUUCUAUUUAUUUAGGAAGUGUAAACCAAACAUUUACUUUGAAAAAAUUAGAGUGUUCAAAGCAGGCCUUUGCUCGAAUAUAUUAGCAUGGAAUAAUAGAAUAGGACGUAUAGUUCUAUUUUUUUGGUUUCUAGGACCGUCGUAAUGAUCAAUAGGGACGGUCGGGGGCAUCAGUAUUCAGUUGUCAGAGGUGAAAUUCUUGGAUUUACUGAAGACUAACUACUGCGAAAGCAUUUGCCAAGGACGUUUUCAUUAAUCAAGAUCGAAAGUUAGGGGAUCGAAGACGAUCAGAUACCGUCGUAGUCUUAACCGUAAACUAUGCCGACUAGGGAUCGGAGGGCGUUAUAAUAACCUCUCCGGCACCUUACGAGAAAUCAAAGUUUUUGGGUUCUGGGGGGAGUAUGGUUGCAAGGCUGAAACUUAAAGGAAUUGACGGAAGGGCACCACCAGGAGUGGAGCCUGCGGCUUAAUUUGACCCAACACGGGGAAACUCACCAGGUCCAGACACAAUAAGGAUUGACAGAUUGAGAGCUCUUUCAUGAUUUUGUGGGUGGUGGUGCAUGGCCGUUCUUAGUUGGUGGAGUGAUUUGUCUGCUUAAUUGCGAUAACGAACGAGACCUUAACCUGCUAAAUAGCUGUAACAAUAGAUUAUUGUUUUGACAGCUUCUUAGAGGGACUAUCGAUUUUCAAGUCGAUGGAAGUUUGAGGCAAUAACAGGUCUGUGAUGCCCUUAGACGUUCUGGGCCGCACGCGCACUACACUGACGGAGCCAGCGAGUCUAACCUGUGCCGAGAGGUAUGGGUAAUCUUGUGAAACUCCGUCGUGCUGGGGAUAGAGCAUUGCAAUUAUUGCUCUUCAACGAGGAAUUCCUAGUAAGCGCAAGUCAUCAGCUUGCGUUGAUUACGUCCCUGCCCUUUGUACACACCGCCCGUCGCUACUACCGAUUGAAUGGCUUAGUAAGGCUUCCGGAUUGAUUAACUGGAGAGGGCAACUUUUCUGGUUGAACGAGAAGCUAGU
RNAcentral lists this ribosomal RNA (1163 nucleotides) under metagenome. RNAcentral describes it as "SSU rRNA". It matches the Rfam family "Eukaryotic small subunit ribosomal RNA", at positions 558 to 1759 of the family's 1831-position model. The record is from RNAcentral.